Molecule: long non-coding RNA, 520 nt
Organism: Homo sapiens (human)
Lineage: Eukaryota; Metazoa; Chordata; Mammalia; Primates; Hominidae
Exons: 7
Source: RefSeq, a predicted model, not a curated record
AGGGAGCCGAGAUCGCACCACUGCACUCCAGCCUGGCGACAGAAUAGGAAAAAUGGAAUGAAGCCAAUUCACCAAUCAUCAAAAGAAAGUCACUGAAAACCAAUUUGUUGACCUAUGUAUUGUUGGUGUCAGAGGAAAAGGGGUCAAGGGAGGAAAGCUGAAAAGUGCUGGUGAAUGAAACAACUCAUUUACUUUGAACUUCUUGAAAGACUGAUAACACAACAUAAAGGCCCUCACAAGAUGCCAGAGCCAUGCUGUUGGACUUCCUGGUCUUCAGAACUACUGCAAGACCAACCCCUCCUCUUCCUCCUCCUCUUCAGCCUACUCAAUGUGAAGACAAUGAAAAUGAAGACCUUUCGGAUGACCCACUUCCACUUAGUGAAUAUGUUCACAGCAUCUUCCCCAGGAGUAGAUUGCAUCUGAAGAAACCAGUUUCCUUGCUUAUCUAUUUCUGUUAUAUCUGAGGAUCGUUUCUGGAAUCUAUGGCUAAAUCUUGCUCCUCCAGCCCAUACAUUGCUAG